AUAUGCAUCUUAUCUUUCUGAGCAGGUAUUUUACCUUAAGAUUAGCCCCUAUGCUCUCUCCGAGUGGUCUUCUCAUUCUAUUGGUGUGUGUAUACUGUAUAUUUGCUUAGAAGAAGGCUCGUGUCUGGGGUUGCUAUUGUUUUAUAAUUCUAUCUUGGAAGCAAACCUACAGUGUAUUCCUUUCUCCAUAUUUGAUGUUACCAUAUCCUUUAAGCAAUUCCUUUAAAUAAUGCUUUGCCUUCUAAAAGUUUUGGAUUUAGUUGCUACAUGCUUUGGUUCUUGUUUAGAUGCCUCACUGCACAUGUAUUUAAGUGUGUAUCAUAUUCCAUUAGUUAAAAUUACUUGUUAUAAAGUUGUCUUCUGAAAAUCCUUACUUUAUGUGUGUACCACGACGUGUUUGGUUAAAUCUUAUGUUGCAUAGUAAUGUUUACGAGAUCUCUCUGGAUGACUGCAGGGGAAGUUGCAAAAUAAGAAGGCUCAUUCUUUAUGUUUGUAAUGCAGUUUCCAUAUAAUAUCAGAUAUGUGAUACAGAUAUUGAGUGUAAAUUGCUUAUUAUCCCACUCAUUCUUCACAAGAGUAUGCCUAUAAUCUUUUUCUUCCUUUUUUCUAUUUGAACUUGUAGAUGGAAGUUGGAAUUGAGGACUGCCUUCAUAUCGAGUUUGAGUACAAUAAGAGCAAACUUUGGAUAUUCUCCUGCAAAUUCUUGUUGUCUUCCCAAAGGUAGAACCCCUGCGAAGUAAGGUUACCUCUUUCAUUCAUCGUAUGGUGGACACUCUAAGACCUUCAAUAUUUCCUUAUCUUCCGAAUGCACUGGGCCAGUUGCUAAUAGAAAGUGAGGCCGUCGUAUACACGGGGUUUAUGACGAUUCUGUUGCUCUACAGUGUGGCGGCUACUGCUGUGCUGUUUAUGUAUUGCAAGGCUUUGCAGGGGGAGCUUGCCUUUGAGAUUGCGGAGGAGUUCGCGCAGGAGUAUAUCCGGCUGCCUUUCGAUGAUGGGAAGCUUUCCCACGUUGUCUACGUCGUGUAGCUGAGGUUCUUGAACCGGGCAGCGCUGAAGAGACUAGAAGAGUUUGGAACAGAAGGUUCCAUGAUAAGUCCAUGGAAAAGAUGCUGCUAUUCUUGUCCCUGGUGAUGUAGUUUGUAUAAAAUUGGGCGAAAUUAAGAAGCUGGUACUUGUAUGGUGGGAGAAUUGGUAGACAGAAAUGUAUGUGAUAUUUACUACAUGCGCAUGUAGUAAAACAUGUAUUAACAGGCAACUUGUGUAGCUCGAAUUGUUGGAUGUUAUGUUAUAUAUGCUAAUAUUAUCUUGUCAAUGUUAUUUUAUUA
Salvia miltiorrhiza (redroot sage) is the source of this 1325-nucleotide long non-coding RNA. RefSeq lists it as uncharacterized. NCBI's taxonomy places the organism in Eukaryota, Viridiplantae, Streptophyta, Magnoliopsida, Lamiales, Lamiaceae. The transcript has 5 exons. The record is from RefSeq and is a predicted model, not a curated record.